GCUACUGGUUCUGGGAUGGUCCCUGGGCUAACUGGCACCUGCACUCCCUUUUCCCACUCCUGCCUCCAGGGGUCUGCCAGCACAUAGUAUUCAUCAGGGUUCAGCUGGAAGGAGUCAUGUAACUUCAUGGCAGUGAUCAGGUCCGUUCUGAACACCUCAGAAGGUUUUCUAUCUUCUUGUCUGGAACAUGAAGACCUCCGAUGGUGAGAUCUGGAAUGCUGGGACCAGGUGGACAGACUGCCAUUGUCGUCAGAAUUCUCACUGCUGCUAGGAAGCCGACGUCGUUUCAUG
This 291-nucleotide long non-coding RNA is filed under the name Gallus gallus (chicken). Lineage: Eukaryota; Metazoa; Chordata; Aves; Galliformes; Phasianidae. The record is from RNAcentral.